RNAcentral lists this ribosomal RNA (190 nucleotides) under uncultured fungus. Its description in RNAcentral is "partial 28S ribosomal RNA". The stretch from base 28 to 190 matches the Rfam family "Eukaryotic large subunit ribosomal RNA", at positions 1 to 162 of the family's 3401-position model. Lineage: Eukaryota; Fungi. The record is from RNAcentral.
GGCUUGGACGAUUGAACCUUUGUGAUCUGAUCUCAAAUCAGGUAGGAAUACCCGCUGAACUUAAGCAUAUCAAUAAGCGGAGGAAAAGAAACUAACAAGGAUUCCCCUAGUAACGGCGAGUGAAGCGGGAAGAGCUCAAAUUUAAAAUCUGGCAGUGUAUUCUGUCCGAGUUGUAGUCUAGAGAAGCGUC